UAGAUUGUCUUUGAAACUUCAUGAGGUUUUUGUCGGAAUGCUUGACUCCAUUCUUUCGAAUGAAUCUAUUAUAUCUCCUUACAAAAAGUCCCAUUUCCUUAUCAUCUGAAUCUUUGUCACUACUAGAAUCAUUGUCACUUUGCUCUUUUCGUGAGGACUUAGAGCUAGAGGCCACAAGAGCUAUUGGCUUCUUCUCUCCCUCUUUG
Molecule: long non-coding RNA, 206 nt
Filed under: Lathyrus oleraceus (garden pea)
Lineage: Eukaryota; Viridiplantae; Streptophyta; Magnoliopsida; Fabales; Fabaceae
Description: Pisum sativum (pea) long non-coding RNA (PSAT_LNC000558)
Source: RNAcentral